This is a long non-coding RNA of Gorilla gorilla gorilla (western lowland gorilla), 430 nucleotides long. RefSeq lists it as uncharacterized. The record is from RefSeq and is a predicted model, not a curated record. Lineage: Eukaryota; Metazoa; Chordata; Mammalia; Primates; Hominidae. The transcript has 3 exons.
GGUGAUGGAAUCGUAAGCUUCAUUGACUUCCUGGGUGUCUUUGAUGACAACCACCGCUUGGCUCAGUGCAUGGGCACCCGCCCCAGGUGCGCGCAGCCCGUACUCUCAGAUUCCUAACCUGGAGGGGUUGGCGCUCCCGGAACGCAGGACACGAAGCCCAGCCCCGGGCCCCGGCUUCCGCCUGAUCCAGCCCUACUAGCCCGGCCGCCCCAAGAUCCCGCCCAGCCCGGGGCGUGUCUCGGCCUAGGGAUACUGGGCCAGCCACGAGAGCCUCCGCCCCCUCGAAGCGGGCUCCCUCGCCGCCAACUCUAGUGAAGAAGCAGCCCUUCUCCCCGGCGCCCGCUGGUUUGCAGAGGCCUGCUAUGAAGAGCUUGUGCAAGUAAAGCGUUUGCUGAGCGGAAACAGGCUGCGGGUGGCUGCGGCAGGCACG